Molecule: long non-coding RNA, 397 nt
Filed under: Homo sapiens (human)
Lineage: Eukaryota; Metazoa; Chordata; Mammalia; Primates; Hominidae
Description: HSALNT0078405
Source: RNAcentral
UUAUUACAACUACUGUCAAGAAGGAUGGAAAAACCCUUUCCAGCUUGAAAACGUACUUUCUGGAAACAGUGCUGCAGAUCCUGGGAGGAUUAGUGAGUGGUCAUCUGUAGUAGGAGAGCAGUUAAUUUCGGAUGCUGUGUCAGAGAUUAGGGACAGUGGCAAAUUGUGUGCUGUGAUUGUGCAGUGGAACUAACCAUGCUGUGGAGACGUUCCCUAUGCAAGUUGUAUGAGGGCAGAUAAUGACAGGCAAGUGACUGCAACCCGAGGCGGUUGUGUCUAAAGUCAAAGGGAAAUUCAGUCAGCUUCACUUAAUAGCUAAAGAAUGAGAGGCCGAGGGUGGCAUUCCAGGCAGAGGCCUUGGGAGUGCAACUGGAAAGGAGAAGGGGCUGCAUGGGGC